GCAGUGCCUUAGCUGAGGGCUGCUGUGCUUGUCAGAGAUGCGCUGCAUCACCCUUGCUCCAAAGGCAAGAGAGAACCAACGCGUUCGUCAUGCAAGAUAGGAACGGGCUCCUAGCAAUGCUUUAAUGCAUGCAAGAAUGAAGGCAGGUAAAAUCCAGGUUUCUGAGAGGAGGUUCCUGCUUGUCUUACCCACAACGCCACGGCUCUUCAAACAGCCAGGAGGACAGCAGGUCGGAGCAAUUGACUUCCAUGUGGAGGGUCACCCCAUCCGAGGCAGAGCUGUUAACCUUGUGCUUCUUCCUACCAGCAUGCGCGGACUAAACUAAGGCAAGGCGGGGUAGCGUGGGGGUCUCACGGGGCCGCUGGACUUCAUCUCCUGAUGAAGGCUACCCUGCUCCUCCCCAGGGGCAUGCCAACCAUGGAAACACUCGCCACGACUCCUGCCCACCUGGCGUGGCUGGCUGCGGGGGACGGGACGGGACAGGCGCCCUCGGUCCCUGUGGCUCUAGCAGCAGUGCUGCUCUCAGGGGUUGGCGCUGCAUCCCGGUGGAGCUGUGCUGCCAGAGCCCCGAGGUGGAUGCGGGAGGAACACUACAGCUGCACCCCAAAUCCUCCGGCGCGUGGCUGACCUGGGAGCUGCUUUGGGCUGCUUGCAGUCUGGACCCUACUGCUGCCACCUGCAGCGUGGCAGGCCUGAGCGUGCCACAUCGCUGCUGCUGCGCCGCUGUGCCAGCUCCUCCAGGGCUGCCCGCCGGGCAGAAGGGGACAGAAGUCCAUCCGUGGCCAUGUCCUGCCCCUCAGCCUUUUCCCAUGGAGUGAGGCAAGACCCGUGCUGCUUGGGGACGCUGUCCUGGAUGCCACCCUGGCCUUGCACUCCCGAACAGCCCAGGCUCGGUGCCCAUGCUGCCUGGGCAGCCGUGAGCGCCUGGGCUGGGGGCCAGCGGAAGAGCUGUCCUGCGCCUCCCCGGCAAGGUUCACAGCAAGGCUCACGGACCGGAGGUUUCCCC
RNAcentral lists this long non-coding RNA (1006 nucleotides) under Apteryx owenii (little spotted kiwi). RNAcentral's name for it is "lncRNA (ENSAOWG00000002744.1)". The record is from RNAcentral. Lineage: Eukaryota; Metazoa; Chordata; Aves; Apterygiformes; Apterygidae.